This 145-nucleotide long non-coding RNA is filed under the name Pogona vitticeps (central bearded dragon). RNAcentral's name for it is "lncRNA (ENSPVIG00000014566.1)". Lineage: Eukaryota; Metazoa; Chordata; Lepidosauria; Squamata; Agamidae. The record is from RNAcentral.
CUCAAGGGGCCUCUAUGUGGCAGCUCUGAGCUAUUAAGCCUCAGCCACCCUUAGGGGAACUAUGCAAUGGAGCAGGGCAGAAAGUGCCACUAACUUCAGGAAACUCUUGCUUUCUGACGAGAGGAGAAGCAUGCCAAUAGAGGAC